This 440-nucleotide ribosomal RNA is filed under the name uncultured bacterium. RNAcentral's name for it is "partial 16S ribosomal RNA". It matches the Rfam family "Bacterial small subunit ribosomal RNA", at positions 338 to 795 of the family's 1533-position model. The record is from RNAcentral.
CCUACGGGAGGCAGCAGUGGGGAAUAUUGCACAAUGGGGGAAACCCUGAUGCAGCGACGCCGCGUGAGUGAAGAAGUACUUCUUUAUGUAAAGCUCUAUUAGCAGGGAAGAAAAUUACGGUACCUGAGUCAGAAGCCCCGGCUAACUACGUGCAAGCCGCCGCGGUAAUACGCAGGGGGCAAGAGUUAUCCGGAUUUACUGGGCGUUAAGGGAGCGUAGACGGCAUUGCAAGUCUGGUGUGAAAGGCUGGGGCUCAACCCCCGGACUGCCGUGGAAACCGUGCGGCUGGAGUGCGGGAGAGGUAAGUGGAAUUCGGGGUGUAGCGGUGAAAUGCGUAGAUAUUAGGAAGAACACCGAUGGCGAAGGCAGCUUACUGGAGUGUAACUGACGUUGAGGCUCGAAGGCGUGGGGAGCGAACAGGAUUAGAUACCCUUGUAGUC